RNAcentral lists this transfer RNA (74 nucleotides) under Lacunisphaera sp. Its description in RNAcentral is "tRNA-Gln". It matches the Rfam family "tRNA". From Rfam's summary of the family: Transfer RNA (tRNA) molecules are approximately 80 nucleotides in length. Lineage: Bacteria; Pseudomonadati; Verrucomicrobiota; Opitutia; Opitutales; Opitutaceae. The record is from RNAcentral.
UGCGGUGUCGUCUAACAGCAGGACAACGGGCUUUGACCCCGUGGAUGGAGGUGCGAGUCCUCCUGCCGCAGCCA